This 504-nucleotide ribosomal RNA is filed under the name uncultured bacterium. RNAcentral describes it as "bacterial SSU rRNA". It matches the Rfam family "Bacterial small subunit ribosomal RNA", at positions 28 to 523 of the family's 1533-position model. The record is from RNAcentral.
GACGAACGCUGGCGGCGUGGAUUAGGCAUGCAAGUCGAACGGUAUCAUCCUUUCGGGGGUGAGAGAGUGGCGAACUGGUGAGUAACACGUAGGUUAUCUACCCUCAAGACGGGGACAACCCAGGGAAACUUGGGCUAAUACCGGAUGUGAGCAACUUUUAGUUGUUUGAAAGGUGGCGUAAGCUGUCGCUUGGGGAUGAGCCUGCGUCCUAUUAGUUAGUUGGUGAGGUAACGGCUCACCUAGGCAAUGAUAGGUAGGCGGCCUUAACGGGUGGUCGCCCGCACUGGGAUUGAGAUACGGCCCAGACUCCUACGGGAGGCAGCAGUCGAGAAUAGUCUACAAUGGUCGGAAGACUGAUAGUGCGACGCCGCGUGAACGAUGAAUCCCUUCGGGGUGUUAAAGUUCUUUUAUAUGUGAGCAGUGCUUCUUAUAUUAACAGUAUGGGGAAGAGAUAUUAGCAUAUGAAUAAGCAACGGCUAACUCCGUGCCAGCAGCCGACGGUAA